AACCGCAUAGAGCCAAACGGGUGGAUCCGCAGAGUCGACCCGGGGAAUUCAGCCCGGCCGCCAGCGGCGCUCGCAAAGUUCGGAUCCGCAAGGACCGGGCCAGCGGGACGUCCCAGUGGCAGGGUGCACUUUCUCCGCGGUCGAGUGCUACGACCGGUUUCGAGGCGGUCAGAAGCCCGGCGGAAAGGUAGCGCCGCCCUUCGGGGUGUCGUGUUAUAGGCCGCCGCGGUGGACUCGCCGCGAGACCGAGGACGCUUGCCGCGCCGAGCGGUCCCGGGCCGUCUUGGGAGGUUCGACCUCGGCUGCACUGCUCCGCAGAGCACCGUAACCGCCGCCCUAGCACGGGUCCGGAGACUGCCGGCGCCUCGGGUCAGUAGCGAAU
RNAcentral lists this ribosomal RNA (382 nucleotides) under Corbicula sp. H2. RNAcentral describes it as "partial 28S ribosomal RNA". RNAcentral also lists the same sequence under 1 other name. Lineage: Eukaryota; Metazoa; Mollusca; Bivalvia; Venerida; Cyrenidae. The record is from RNAcentral.